Molecule: non-coding RNA, 512 nt
Organism: Manis javanica (Malayan pangolin)
Lineage: Eukaryota; Metazoa; Chordata; Mammalia; Pholidota; Manidae
Source: RefSeq, a predicted model, not a curated record
ACCUCAGCGUGCUUGGGUUUCUGCCCCGCGCUGCAUUGUACUCACUGUGGAUACCCUUCUUCCUCCAUUUGCCUCUGCCGACCUGAGCACCCCUCUGUGUGGAUGCCUUCUUCAGCCUUCUCAGGCUUUGGUGGUACCACUGGGGCAGAAGCUGUGAAAUGAGGAAGACUUGUCAAAUGAUCUUAAGGAAUGAAUUUAGCAAUGGAGUGGGAUGAACACUGGUUCACCAGUAAAGCAAAGGGCUGCUGAAAAGAGCAUCAUGUCUAAAAAGUGGCUAAGGGGCAUUCUGUCUCUGUACCACUCUGACGGUUUUAUUAGACGCGGGAGAAAAUAGAAGAGAGCUGGACCCUGCUGUGAAGAUGCUGUAAAUUUCAUGGCUAGGCUUCAUCUGGUAACAAACUGUUGGACCACUUAGUGUUAAACAUAAAAGUUACUCAGCUGCUUGAAGAAAAUGGUAUGACUGCAUGUUGAAAACAGGUACUUAUUAAUAAUUAUAUUCUAUAGAAGUGGAA